RNAcentral lists this transfer RNA (77 nucleotides) under Alphaproteobacteria bacterium. Its description in RNAcentral is "tRNA-His". It matches the Rfam family "tRNA". Rfam says of the family: Transfer RNA (tRNA) molecules are approximately 80 nucleotides in length. Their secondary structure includes four short double-helical elements and three loops (D, anti-codon, and T loops). Lineage: Bacteria; Pseudomonadati; Pseudomonadota; Alphaproteobacteria. The record is from RNAcentral.
GUGUCCAUAGCUCAGUUGGUUAGAGCGUCCGGUUGUGGUCCGGAAGGUCGCCGGUUCGAAUCCGGUUGGACACCCCA